Molecule: ribosomal RNA, 423 nt
Filed under: uncultured archaeon
Lineage: Archaea
Description: bacterial SSU rRNA
Rfam family: Archaeal small subunit ribosomal RNA
Source: RNAcentral
CAGCCGCCGCGGUAAUACCAGCUCCUCGAGUGGUCGGGGCGAUUAUUGGGCCUAAAGCAUCCGUAGCCGGUUCCGUAGGUCCUCUGUUAAAUCCAACCGCUUAACGGUUGACCUGCAGAGGAUACCGCGGGACUAGGAGGCGGGAGAGGCGGACGGUACUCCGCGUGUAGGGGUAAAAUCCUUUGAUCCGCGGAAGACCACCAGUGGCGAAGGCGGUCCGCCAGAACGCGCUCGACGGUGAGGGAUGAAAGCUGGGGGAGCGAACCGGAUUAGAUACCCGGGUAGUCCCAGCCGUAAACGAUGCUAGCUAGAUGAUUCAUUCGCAAGUCGCGAAUGAAGUGUCGCAGGGAAGCCGUUAAGCUAGCCGCCUGGGGAGUACGGUCGCAAAGACUGAAACUUAAAGGAAAUUGGCGGGGGGAGCAC